GACGAACCUCUGGUGUUCCGGUUGUCACGCCAGUGGCACUGCCGGGUAGCUAUGUUCGGAAUAGAUAACCGCUGAAAGCAUCUAAGCGGGAAACUAGCCUCAAGAUGAGAUCUCACUGGGAACUUGAUUCCCCUGAAGGGCCGUCGAAGACUACGACGUUGAUAGGUCGGGUGUGUAAGCGCUGUGAGGCGUUGAGCUAACCGAUACUAAUUGCCCGUGAGGCUUGACCAUAUAACACCCAAACAAUU
Molecule: ribosomal RNA, 248 nt
Filed under: Pseudomonas citronellolis
Lineage: Bacteria; Pseudomonadati; Pseudomonadota; Gammaproteobacteria; Pseudomonadales; Pseudomonadaceae
Description: partial 23S ribosomal RNA
Rfam family: Bacterial large subunit ribosomal RNA
Source: RNAcentral